Molecule: RNase P RNA, 241 nt
Filed under: Phycisphaerales bacterium
Lineage: Bacteria; Pseudomonadati; Planctomycetota; Phycisphaerae; Phycisphaerales
Description: partial RNase P RNA component class A
Rfam family: Bacterial RNase P class A
About the family: Ribonuclease P (RNase P) is a ubiquitous endoribonuclease, found in archaea, bacteria and eukarya as well as chloroplasts and mitochondria. Its best characterised activity is the generation of mature 5'-ends of tRNAs by cleaving the 5'-leader elements of precursor-tRNAs.
Source: RNAcentral
AAGGGUGAAACGGUGCGGUAAGAGCGCACCGCCUGGACGGCGACGCCCAGGGCACGGCAAACCCCACCGCGUGCAAGCGCAAGCAGCCCCGGCCUGCGGGCAACCGCAGGCACCCGUGUCCACGGGCCUCGGGGCGGGUCGCGCGCACGAGCGGGCCGGCAACGGUCCGCCCAGAGAAAUGGCUGCACGCGGUCCCGCAAGGGGCCGCCGACAGAAUCCGGCUUAUCGUCCACAGACGCCC